This 650-nucleotide ribosomal RNA is filed under the name uncultured Lachnospiraceae bacterium. RNAcentral describes it as "bacterial SSU rRNA". It matches the Rfam family "Bacterial small subunit ribosomal RNA", at positions 68 to 720 of the family's 1533-position model. Lineage: Bacteria; Bacillati; Bacillota; Clostridia; Lachnospirales; Lachnospiraceae. The record is from RNAcentral.
GGAAACCUUUUAUUGAAGCUUCGGCAGAUCUAGCUGGUUUCUAGUGGCGGACGGGUGAGUAACGCGUGGGUAACCUGCCUUAUACAGGGGGAUAACAAUCAGAAAUGAUUGCUAAUACCGCAUAAGCGCACAGGACCGCAUGGUCUAGUGUGAAAAACUCCGGUGGUAUAAGAUGGACCCGCGUUGGAUUAGCUGGUUGGUGAGGUAACGGCCCACCAAGGCGACGAUCCAUAGCCGGCCUGAGAGGGUGAACGGCCACAUUGGGACUGAGACACGGCCCAGACUCCUACGGGAGGCAGCAGUGGGGAAUAUUGCACAAUGGGGGAAACCCUGAUGCAGCGACGCCGCGUGAAGGAAGAAGUAUCUCGGUAUGUAAACUUCUAUCAGCAGGGAAGAUAGUGACGGUACCUGACUAAGAAGCCCCGGCUAACUACGUGCCAGCAGCCGCGGUAAUACGUAGGGGGCAAGCGUUAUCCGGAUUUACUGGGUGUAAAGGGAGCGUAGACGGACUGGCAAGUCUGAUGUGAAAGGCGGGGGCUCAACCCCUGGACUGCAUUGGAAACUGUUAGUCUUGAGUGCCGGAGAGGUAAGCGGAAUUCCUAGUGUAGCGGUGAAAUGCGUAGAUAUUAGGAGGAACACCAGUGGCGAAG